This 71-nucleotide transfer RNA is filed under the name Alphaproteobacteria bacterium. Its description in RNAcentral is "tRNA-His". It matches the Rfam family "tRNA". Rfam says of the family: Transfer RNA (tRNA) molecules are approximately 80 nucleotides in length. Their secondary structure includes four short double-helical elements and three loops (D, anti-codon, and T loops). Lineage: Bacteria; Pseudomonadati; Pseudomonadota; Alphaproteobacteria. The record is from RNAcentral.
GCCGGCUGAAAUGGUACAGCAUCAGAUUGUGGAUCUGGAGGUCCCCCGUUCGAUCCGGGGAGGCGGUACCA